GUCACAAAGGGAGAGGCUCGCAACGGUAGUGUCUGUCUCGUACAUCACGCAGCAGCCCCCAUUGGCCAUGCCCUCCUUGCACCGCGUGGCCAUGUCCUGCUUGCACCGCGUGGCCAUGCCCUGCUAGCCCCCUCGCCUCUCGUGCUCGGGCCGCCUGCAGUUCGCGUCGCUUUCCCACGCCCUGGUCGCCCCACCCACUUGUGCUGCUCGCUGGUUCCUGGAGAGAAAGAGAGGGAGAAUGAAAAUAAGAGGCGGGGUAGAGGAAGAGGAGGGCGUAGGCCUACCGACGGUGACGAAGGAUCUGCGACCGAACGAGAUCGUGAUGCGCUGCCGGGGGAUGUCGCGGUGCAAAUGGAGCUCGCUAGGCAAUGGCCUCGGAUGUCUGACUGGAGGAGCUCGUGUGGGCUCGGAUGUGUGGUCGUAGGAGCUUGGAUGCAAGGCCGAAGGAGCUUGCGGUGUGCUCUGGUCGUGGAAAGAACGAGAGAGAGAGAGAGAAAUAAUGGGUGGAGAGGAGAUAUGAG
This 521-nucleotide long non-coding RNA is filed under the name Hordeum vulgare. RNAcentral describes it as "long non-coding RNA (HVUL_LNC003311)". The record is from RNAcentral. Lineage: Eukaryota; Viridiplantae; Streptophyta; Magnoliopsida; Poales; Poaceae.